AAAACUCCCAGAUGAGUGCAUAAAUCCCGUCCGAUGAAACAGCAUAAAUCCUGUCCGACGAAACAGCAUAAAUCCCUCCGAUCUGCGUAAAUCCCGUCCGACGAAACAGCGUUUGAUUCAUACCUCCGAUCAGCACCGUCCGACUCCGUCCAUCCCUACCGCCUCCACCAUUCGCCGUCGACGAUCUGCACCAGACACUCCGCCGCGAGGUCCCGGUCUCCGUAUUUCUUCCGAGUUAGUAAACUUUCUUUUCUAAAUGCAUUGUAUUGAGACGUCGUUAACGAGAAAAGUGGAGAUGGAAGGUCGAUAAGGAUGAUUCACGUAUGUUUGUU
Molecule: long non-coding RNA, 332 nt
Filed under: Helianthus annuus (common sunflower)
Lineage: Eukaryota; Viridiplantae; Streptophyta; Magnoliopsida; Asterales; Asteraceae
Description: hypothetical non coding rna
Source: RNAcentral